UACGUAGGGGGCAAGCGUUGUUCGGAAUUACUGGGCGUAAAGGGCGCGUAGGCGGCACGGCAAGUCAGGAGUGAAAGCCCGGGGCUCAACCCCGGAAUGUCUUUUGAAACUGCCGAGCUAGAGUGCGGAAGAGGCAACUGGAAUUCCCAGUGUAGCGGUGAAAUGCGUAGAUAUUGGGAAGAACACCUGAGGCGAAGGCGGAUUGCUGGGCCGACACUGACGCUGAGGCGCGAAAGCCAGGGGAGCGAACGGG
This 253-nucleotide ribosomal RNA is filed under the name uncultured bacterium. RNAcentral describes it as "partial 16S ribosomal RNA". It matches the Rfam family "Bacterial small subunit ribosomal RNA", at positions 524 to 776 of the family's 1533-position model. The record is from RNAcentral.